This 506-nucleotide ribosomal RNA is filed under the name uncultured bacterium. RNAcentral describes it as "partial 16S ribosomal RNA". It matches the Rfam family "Bacterial small subunit ribosomal RNA", at positions 30 to 523 of the family's 1533-position model. The record is from RNAcentral.
AGUGAACGCGGGCGGUAGGGCUAACACAUGCAAGUCGAACGGCAGCACAGGAGAGCUUGCUCCCUGGGUGGCGAGUGGCGGACGGGUGAGGAAUACAUCGGAAUCUACUCUGUCGUGGGGGAUAACGUAGGGAAACUUACGCUAAUACCGCAUACGACCUACGGGUGAAAGCAGGGGACCUUCGGGCCUUGCGCGAUUGAAUGAGCCGAUGUCGGAUUAGGUAGUUGGCGGGGUAAAGGCCCACCAAGGCGACGGUCCGUAGGUGGUAUGAGAGGAUGAUCAGCCACACUGGAAGUGAGACACGGUCCAGACUCCUACGGGAGGCAGCAGUGGGGAAUAGUGGACAAUGGGCGCAAGUGCGACCCAGCCAUACGCCGUGGGUGAAGAAGGCCUUCGGGUUGUAAAGCCCUUUGGGGGGGAAAGAAAUCCAGCUGGCUAAUACCCGGUUGGGAUGACGGUACCCAAAGAAUAAGCACCGGCUAACUUCGUGCCAGCCGCCGCAGUAA